This 113-nucleotide ribosomal RNA is filed under the name Lepisosteus oculatus (spotted gar). The record is from RNAcentral. Lineage: Eukaryota; Metazoa; Chordata; Actinopteri; Semionotiformes; Lepisosteidae.
ACCAGCUGUGCUACCACUCAGCCAGAUCUCAUUAGAUCUCAGAAUCUAAGAAAGCUGUGCCUAGUUAGUACUGGGAUGGAAGACUUCCAAAGAAAACCAGAUUCCAGCUGUUC